Molecule: long non-coding RNA, 538 nt
Filed under: Gossypium barbadense (sea-island cotton)
Lineage: Eukaryota; Viridiplantae; Streptophyta; Magnoliopsida; Malvales; Malvaceae
Description: long non-coding RNA (GBAR_LNC015320)
Source: RNAcentral
UCUGGUGCUUAUUUUUCUUGCCCACGUCGUUCACUGUUCAUGAGAGCGCCAGUAUUGUUUGAGGAUUUUAGCCAAAAUUAUUAUUGAAAAUUCAACUUUCUUGUAGCAAACUCCACAAACUUUUACACAUAUCCAUUGAUUUUGAUCAAAAUCCUUAGCUUUUCAAUCACCAAAAACAAAACCCAAAAUCUCCCAUAUCCCAAAUUCUGAAAAUUAGUAGAGGAAGUGGAAAAGUUCCUUGUCGACGGUAAGUUUUUAAGUUUCAUGUGUAUUUUGAUUGAUAUUCGAAAUGAAAUUCGGUUAAGUUUGGAGAGUUUCAGUAAUGGACAGCGAGUAUCGAAUUAGUGUAGCAUAGUUCGCAACUUCGUUGCUUGUCAGGUUCGAAUUAAUGUUUAUUAUGAUUGAUUUUUGAAUAUUAUUGCUAAAAUCGUGUAUCAAAUAUUCGUUUUGAAGCAAAUAAGAUUGUCAAGUCAUCAAAAGCGAAGGGCUAGGCGGUCAUAUGCGACAAGUAAUCGUUUCUAAGCACCCAGUGUUUAGG